Xiphophorus couchianus (Monterrey platyfish) is the source of this 1048-nucleotide long non-coding RNA. RefSeq lists it as uncharacterized. Lineage: Eukaryota; Metazoa; Chordata; Actinopteri; Cyprinodontiformes; Poeciliidae. The transcript is spliced from 2 exons. The record is from RefSeq and is a predicted model, not a curated record.
UCAGAAUGAAACCUAUUUAGAACAGAUGUUAGUAUUUUUAAAAAAAAGUCACGUGAAAUGAGCAGAUGUUCAGAGUGUGCAGAGGCUCGCCGAGCAGCGCAUAGCUCUGCAGAGAGAGCUCCGAGCUGCUCGGUGUCGGCCCUCUUUCUCUAACCUUUAAAGAAGCACUUUCAAUAAUCACCUCAAAUUUGAUAUUGAUUUGGAUUAUUAAAAGGGAAUAUCUCCAGGAAACAACCCGGAUCUGACCGGCUGCCUUUUGCUCAGACUAGAAAAGGAGGAGUUUUGGUGCUGGACGGAGACCUCUGACUUCCCUGACCGCAACACUUCCAGGUCAGGCGACCAAAAACAUGACAAGCACGUCGUCAACUCCUGUAUGCAACGAAUGUAUUGCAAAAUCUGCUGACAAAAUCCACUGUACUGACUUUUAUAGCUGUCAUUGCUAAUUAAUCUAGGUGAUUGUGAAUGCAAAUUUCUUUUUGAAAACAGCUUUUUUUUUUUUUUUUUACUGUUACUUCAUGACUGAAUGUGAUUGUAAAUGAGUUUGUAAUAUACACAUUAUCGAUUACACAAACUGAACAUCAAUUUAAAAAUCUUUAAAAUAGCAGCCCAGCUCAGUGUUGAAGCAGGACACUCCUGUUGAGAAGCCUGUGCGAUUUGUCUCCUCUAUCUGCAUGCUGUCAGGCUGCUGGCCUCAUCCUCCUCUGUUUGCGACCUCAGUGCUAAAUCAAGUUCAAAGAGGACCACUGGUGUUUGGCAGAUAGUUUUACAUGAGGGGCAGGGGCAGGACCAUUUGUUUAGUCAACCUCUGGCUCCCUCUUUGAUUCGCAGCUAUCUGUGACCCCGUGGCUGAGCGGCACCACUUAAGGCUCUUCAUUCAGACACAAUGCUCACUGAUAAAAUCAGCACCGGAACUCACUUUAUUUUCAGCCGCUGAUUUUCCAGCUAUAAUAUUUACUGAAUGUUCAAAUUUAGCAACUUUCAAAAAUAUUCAUACCCUUUGAUAAGUACAUCCAGACAUUUCAAUGUAUUUCAUUCUGACUCUGUAUUA